This 253-nucleotide ribosomal RNA is filed under the name uncultured bacterium. RNAcentral describes it as "partial 16S ribosomal RNA". It matches the Rfam family "Bacterial small subunit ribosomal RNA", at positions 524 to 776 of the family's 1533-position model. The record is from RNAcentral.
UACAGAGGGUGCGAGCGUUGUCCGGAAUCACUGGGCGUAAAGGGCGCGUAGGCGGCUCAGUAAGGUUGCGGUGAAAGCCCGGGGCUCAACCCCGGGUCGGCCGUGGCAACUGCUGGGCUAGAGCACUGUAGAGGCAGGUGGAAUUCCGGGUGUAGCGGUGGAAUGCGUAGAGAUCCGGAAGAACACCGGUGGCGAAGGCGGCCUGCUGGGCAGUAGCUGACGCUGAUGCGCGACAGCGUGGGGAGCGAACAGG